RNAcentral lists this ribosomal RNA (508 nucleotides) under uncultured bacterium. RNAcentral describes it as "partial 16S ribosomal RNA". It matches the Rfam family "Bacterial small subunit ribosomal RNA", at positions 28 to 507 of the family's 1533-position model. The record is from RNAcentral.
GACGAACGCUGGCGGCGUGCCUAAUACAUGCAAGUCGAACGCUUCUUUCCUCCCAAGUGCUUGCACUCAAUUGGAAAGAGGAGUGGCGGACGGGUGAGUAACACGUGGGUAACCUACCCAUCAGAGGGGGAUAACACUUGGAAACAGGUGCUAAUACCGCAUAACAGUUUAUGCCGCAUGGCAUAAGAGUGAAAGGCGCUUUCGGGUGUCGCUGAUGGAUGGACCCGCGGUGCAUUAGCUAGUUGGUGAGGUAACGGCUCACCAAGGCCACGAUGCAUAGCCGACCUGAGAGGGUGAUCGGCCACACUGGGACUGAGACACGGCCCAGACUCCUACGGGAGGCAGCAGUAGGGAAUCUUCGGCAAUGGACGAAAGUCUGACCGAGCAACGCCGCGUGAGUGAAGAAGGUUUUCGGAUCGUAAAACUCUGUUGUUAGAGAAGAACAAGGACGUUAGUAACUGAACGUCCCCUGACGGUAUCUAACCAGAAAGCCACGGCUAACUACGUG